UCUCUACUGAGUGUUGGGGAGGAUGGGGACAGACGCUGUUGUGGGACUGCAAACCACAGGUGGCUUUGGCAGUGUCUUAAAGAGUUAAGCGUACACAUGACCAGGCCACUCACUCCUAGGCUUCACCCAAGAGAAACACAAGCAUCUGUCGGAAGAUGCCGACUCAACGCUCACAGCAAUUUUCUCUAAGAGCCCCAAAGCAGACACACCCCAAGGGUUGGCCAAGGGAGUUGACAUGCACGUUGGUGCCACGGAUGGGGUAGGACCGUCGCCUGGGAGGAAUGUGGAUUGGUAAGCCCCACGGCACAGAUGACAAUUACGGAGGGAGGAAAGCCCGGCAGAGGUGCAGKCCCCCUGAUGGCACUGAGGCGCGCUCACCCGCCGCCAUCUGCCGGGCCUGACCUGGUGCUGCUGAUCCGGAAGGAAGCCCUCCGCCCAGCUCGCCCAGCUCGCCCAGCUCGCCCAGCUCGAGGUGACCAGCCCGCAGGGGAAGGCCGUGUGGAUUCCAGAAUUCCUGGUGCCACUGCUCUUCCUGGAGAGGAAGAAGAGUUUGUGCGCCUGGUGAUUCUGGCACAGUGGAAAGGGCAGGGUCCUCAGGCCAAAAGCAGAGGAGCUAC
RNAcentral lists this long non-coding RNA (617 nucleotides) under Urocitellus parryii (Arctic ground squirrel). Its description in RNAcentral is "lncRNA (ENSUPAG00010002651.1)". Lineage: Eukaryota; Metazoa; Chordata; Mammalia; Rodentia; Sciuridae. The record is from RNAcentral.